RNA transcript from Capsicum annuum, 3443 nucleotides. It is a transcript of the gene named putative protease Do-like 14, with no coding region annotated. Lineage: Eukaryota; Viridiplantae; Streptophyta; Magnoliopsida; Solanales; Solanaceae. The record is from RefSeq and is a predicted model, not a curated record. The transcript is spliced from 7 exons.
CCUAAGUUGUAUACACAACUUUCCACCUUGUAUCGGUUGAUUCGAGAAGGCCCCAAGAAGAAUUCUUCACAGUUUCUGGGUUUUAGAAUAAUCAAUUGACCCCUGAAAUAUUCGAUUGAAGGAGUGUAUCGAUCAAGCACUCAUGAAACGUUUUCGUUUUCUGAGAAAAUUAUCAAAUUCCAAUGAAAAACCCUUCACUGCUGUAUUAGCUUUGGCUGCUGCUGGAUUUUUUUCUAGCAAUGAAAUCACCAGUUCAAGAACAUCAAUUUUGGUUUCGCUACCAGAUCCCUUAAAAGAUUCUUUGAAAGACAGACUUGUUCGUCCUGCUUUUCUUCCGGCCGACCAAUCUCAACUGUAUAUUUUCCCAUCGUCUUUUGCUAGAAUUGGUUUGGACUCACCUGGGAAUGCGAAGAAAGAAGGUUCUGGGGAAGAUGACGAUGGUGAGAAACGUAAUUGUUGUAAUUGUUUCGGACGAGAUACUAUUGCCAAUGCGGCUGCCACUGUUGGUCCUGCGGUUGUUAAUAUCUCAGUAUCAAGGGGCUUUCACGGAUUGAGCGCUGGAAGGAGUAUAGGAUCAGGAACUAUAAUAGAUGCUGAUGGCACUAUUUUGACUUGUGCCCAUGUGGUUGAUUUUCAAGGCUUGAGUAUUUCAUCAAAAGGAAAGGUUGAUGUGACUAUGCAAGAUGGCCGUGUAUUUGAGGGUACCGUGGUCAAUGCGGAUUUGCAUUCUGAUAUUGCAAUUGUUAAGAUAAAAUCUAGAACUCCACUUCCAACUGCAAAACUUGGCACUUCAAACAAGCUUCGCCCUGGGGAUUGGGUGGUGGCUAUGGGUUGCCCCCUUUCCCUCCAAAAUACAAUUACAGCAGGCAUUGUGAGCUGCGUCGAUCGUAAAAGUAGUGAUCUUGGACUUGGAGGCAUGCGGCGAGAGUAUCUGCAGACUGAUUGUGCUAUUAAUGCUGGAAAUUCUGGAGGACCUCUGGUAAAUGUCGAUGGAGAAGUAGUCGGAGUUAAUAUCAUGAAAGUACUGGCAGCUGAUGGUUUGGGCUUUGCCGUACCAAUUGAUUCUGUUACCAAGAUUAUAGACCACUUCAAGAAUAGGGGGAGAGUUAUUCGACCUUGGUUGGGUUUGAAAAUGCUCGAUCUAAAUGAUAUGGUUGUUGCACAGCUUCAGGAAAGAGAUCCAUCUUUCCCAAAAGUCAACAAGGGAGUUCUUGUAUCAAUGGUGACUCCAGGGUCCCCUGCUGAUCGAGCUGGAUUUCACCCUAGUGACGUGGUUGUUGAAUUUGAUGGAAAUCCUGUUGGGACUAUAAAGGAGAUAAUUGAUAUAAUGGGUGACAACAUUGGGAAACAAUUGAAUGCAGUGGUGAAAAGAGCCAAUGAUGUUACUGCUACGUUGAGUGUAAUUCCAGAAGAAGCUAAUCCUGAUAUGUGAAAUAUCCGACCACUUUCCCUCAUUGACCUGCCACCAGGUGCAGUCAUGGUUGCUCCAAUGAUUAAUCCAUAUGAACCAAGAAUGACCAAGGCGGAGAAGAAUAAAAUGUGCAAGACAUGGACAACAAAGACGAAAACCAUGUAUAUAUUAUUUAGGAAGUCUCCAAGACUACUUCCUUACUUUUACUGUAGAAGCUUCCUUAAUGGAGUCCAUGGCCCGAUCAAAACACGGCUUGCCUUAUCACUUGGAAUAAGAGAUAAAGCUUUGCUGGAGCACUUAUCGUUUGAAGAGUUCUGGCAAAGAGAUUAAUAAGAAGUUGUUGGACAAAAGGAUGCAAAACCAUUCGUGGAGGAAGCUGUCUUACAGGUUUCAAAUUAGGGUUUUAGCCCGGCAGAGCUCAAAGUACAGACAAAACACCCUAGAAAGUGUAUUGGGCAUUGGAUUAAAUCACUGUAUGGUCAAACAGAAGAAAUCUUGACUGGAUUCCUCGGUCAAAUUCACAUAUGGCAGGUUGGUUCAUAUCUUCUUUACCUAUUUUCGUUUGCCUUAUUCAAGAUAAUUUCUCAUGGUUUAUCAACAUAUUACGCCAACUUGUGUAAAGUAACUAAAAUUUUAGAUUUUAUCUGGGGAUGGAAGAUAUGGUGGUACCGCCAUCCACAACUGAUUUUUUACAGCGAGUCCUACCAGAUGCAAUGGUACAUAGGCUCCUGUACGAGGCAAAUAUUUUGACGGGUAGAAGGGUUUUUGGUGCUCAAAAGAAGCAGACACCUGAAUCCAAAAAGAAAGUGACAUCAAACAAUUACUACGGGACAGUGAUAGUGAAGGUGAGACAGAUGCCAGAGAAAUUGGCAUCGGGUCUCGUAAAGAAAAUAAUUUUUCUGGGAGGGAAGUUUAUUUUGAUCCCAAUUCACUUCGUGAAGAGUCUGAAAUUGCUCAUGAUUCUCUGUUUAAUAGUUUUGACGACGUUGUCAGAGACCCAUCCUCAAAGACAUCAUAAGAAGUUUCCAUCUUUGCAGAUGACUCGUGGAAAAAGAUUUGUGUUGUCUCGAAAUUAUUUUUCUUACUUUUUAUAGAAAAAUUGCUUUUAUUCGUAUAUUUGGUGAACAGAUGAAUGAUUCAUCAGCUAAAGAAAAGCAAACAAAAUCUGCAAAUGCAAAGAGUGCAAUUUCCUUACAUGUCACAGAGCCUGUUGUGAGUAAACCUGAUGCGGAGGAAAUUGAUGAGAAUAGCGAUACACAUAGUGGAGGAGAAAUGGUUGAUGGGAUUUUAACUUCAGGGACCAAGUCCACAUAUGAAAUCCCAUCUCAAGAAGAACUUAGUCGGCGUGCUCUUGCUGAUGAUGACGUUGAAGAUGAAUUUAGGAGAUAAAAACAAGAUGGUUUGAAUGAGGAAGUUCCAGAGCCCAACAAGCCCGUUUUACUGCUUGGUUGGGGCCAGUGGACCAGUAUACAAAAGAAGAGAGGUCCGCCGCCUUGGAUGCUUCAAAAACAUGAUAACGCCAAAAAGAAAAGGGAAGAAGCUCUCAAGAAGAGAAAAGAUGCAAAGCCGAAUCAUGUUAGCAUCUCCGAAAAGCGGGAUUAGAAGGUUCCUUCUUCCAGCAUCACUUAUAGUGAUGAAUGAUGUAGCACCUUAUUUUUUUGGUUUUUCCUUUGGGUGAUAAUUUCUUAACAAUUGUUUGAGAUCGAAGUACAACCCACUGGAUGAGCCUAGUCCAUUACGUGAAGAGCCCUAUUUCGAGUGAUUUUUCGUUUUUCAUUGGAACUCAACAAUCAGGGGAAGAAAAAAGGGAACUCCGGAACUAUUGAAAAGCUCAAAUCCUCGAACUUUUCUACCACAGUUAUGAGAAUCGGGAGCUGGGAGGUAAUAUUGAUGUUUUAGUAUCGAUUGUAAUUUGUAAUCAACAAAUUGCAAUUUAGAAAAGCUACAACCGAUGGAAAUUUGUGUUGUUUUUUUGUGAGUUUUGUAUGUUUAUGGAAAUUGAGCUGAAUCAGGAAGUGAAUUUUUUUCACAA